UACAGAGGUCCCAAGCGUUGUUCGGAUUCACUGGGCGUAAAGGGUGCGUAGGUGGCGUGGAAAGUUUGAUGUGAAAGCUCAGGGCUUAACCCUGAAAUGGCAUUGAAUACUACCGUGCUGGAGGUUUGGAGGGGGGACUGGAAUUCUUGGUGUAGCAGUGAAAUGCGUAGAUAUCAAGAGGAACACCAGUGGCGAAGGCGAGUCUCUGGACGGUGACUGACGCUGAGACGCGAAAGCGUGGGGAGCAAACAGG
RNAcentral lists this ribosomal RNA (253 nucleotides) under uncultured bacterium. RNAcentral describes it as "partial 16S ribosomal RNA". It matches the Rfam family "Bacterial small subunit ribosomal RNA", at positions 524 to 776 of the family's 1533-position model. The record is from RNAcentral.